This 312-nucleotide ribosomal RNA is filed under the name uncultured bacterium. Its description in RNAcentral is "bacterial SSU rRNA". It matches the Rfam family "Bacterial small subunit ribosomal RNA", at positions 28 to 323 of the family's 1533-position model. The record is from RNAcentral.
GACGAACGCUGGCGGCGCGCCUAACACAUGCAAGUCGAACGGAGUUAAUCAUACUGAAUCUUCGGAGGACGAAUGAUUGACUUAGUGGCGAACGGGUGAGUAACGCGUGAGUAACCUGCCUUAAAGAGGGGGACAACAGUUGGAAACGACUGCUAAUACCGCAUAAGCCCACAGUACCGCAUGGUACAGUGAGAAAAGAUUUUAUCGCUUUAAGAUGGACUCGCGUCUGAUUAGCUAGUUGGUGGGUAACGGCCUACCAAGGCGACGAUCAGUAGCCGGACUGAGAGGUUGAUCGGCCACAUUGGGACUGAG